CACACUGGACUGAGACACGGUCCAGACUCCUACGGGAGGCAGCAGUGGGGAAUAUUGCACAAUGGGCGCAAGCCUGAUGCAGCCAUGCCGCGUGUGUGAAGAAGGCCUUCGGGUUGUAAAGCACUUUCAGUCGUGAGGAAGGUGGUGUAGUUAAUAGCUGCAUUAUUUGACGUUAGCGACAGAAGAAGCACCGGCUAACUCCGUGCCAGCAGCCGCGGUAAUACGGAGGGUGCGAGCGUUAAUCGGAAUUACUGGGCGUAAAGCGCAUGCAGGUGGUUUGUUAAGUCAGAUGUGAAAGCCCGGGGCUCAACCUCGGAAUAGCAUUUGAAACUGGCAGACUAGAGUACUGUAGAGGGGGGUAGAAUUUCAGGUGUAGCGGUGAAAUGCGUAGAGAUCUGAAGGAAUACCGGUGGCGAAGGCGGCCCCCUGGACAGAUACUGACACUCAGAUGCGAAAGCGUGGGGAGCAAACAGGAUUAGAUACCCUGGUAGUCCACGCCGUAAACGAUGUCUACUUGGAGGUUGUGGCCUUGAGCCNUGGCUUUCGGAGCUAACGCGUUAAGUAGACCGCCUGGGGAGUACGGUCGCAAGAUUAAAACUCAAAUG
RNAcentral lists this ribosomal RNA (605 nucleotides) under Vibrio sp. a258. RNAcentral describes it as "bacterial SSU rRNA". It matches the Rfam family "Bacterial small subunit ribosomal RNA", at positions 309 to 907 of the family's 1533-position model. The record is from RNAcentral. Lineage: Bacteria; Pseudomonadati; Pseudomonadota; Gammaproteobacteria; Vibrionales; Vibrionaceae.